This 399-nucleotide long non-coding RNA is filed under the name Nicotiana benthamiana. RNAcentral's name for it is "long non-coding RNA (NBEN_LNC002141)". Lineage: Eukaryota; Viridiplantae; Streptophyta; Magnoliopsida; Solanales; Solanaceae. The record is from RNAcentral.
CUAUACUGGGUAGUUGUUGUUGCCAAAAUGCGUUGAAUUGUCCUACGGACUUCCAAAUCCAAAUUCGAACAUGCUCCUAAAUCCAAAAUCACCAUACGAAACUAUUGGAGUCAUCAAAAUUCCUUUCGGGGUCGUUUGCUCAAAAGUCAAAUCUCCGGUCAAACUUAUGAAAUCUUUAGCCUUAGAUUUCUAGAUUCCAUUAAAUGACGAUAAUUUGAUCUAGGGACCUCUGAAUUCGAUUUCGGGCAUAUGACCAAGCUCCAAAUCACGAUACGGAACUACCGGAAUAGUCAAAACUUGGAUACAGAUUCGUUUGCUCAAAAUGUUGACCGAAGUCAACUCAGUUGAAUUUUAAAGCUCUAAUUCAUAAUUUAAUUCAUUUUUCAUAAAAAAACUUUC